AUUGAGGCAUUGCUCUGCUUGACAUUGCAAUGUCUAGUUGACUAAGGCAACUAAGUGUCUAAAUCACUUCUGAAAAUGAGACUUGAUCUCCUAAGUCAGUUAGUGCUGAAGAGAGCCAUUUUGGAAAACCUGGGGCUUUGUCUACAUAAAC
Dermochelys coriacea (leatherback sea turtle) is the source of this 151-nucleotide long non-coding RNA. RefSeq lists it as uncharacterized. NCBI's taxonomy places the organism in Eukaryota, Metazoa, Chordata, Testudines, Dermochelyidae. The transcript is spliced from 3 exons. The record is from RefSeq and is a predicted model, not a curated record.